CACCUCUAGCAUACCAAGUAUUAGAGGCUCCGCCUGCCCAGUGACAAUCAACGUUCAACGGCCGCGGUAUCCUGACCGUGCAAAGGUAGCAUAAUCACUUGUUCUUUAAAUAAGGACUAGCAUGAAAGGCUUAACGAGGGUUUAACUGUCUCUUUUUUAUAGUCAAUGAAACUGACCUUCCCGUGAAGAGGCGGGAAUUAAAAAACAAGACGAGAAGACCCUAUGGAGCUUAAAUUAAUUAACUCACUUCUACAACUCUCAAUCAACAAGAGACAAAAAAUAAACUAUGAGUUAAUAAUUUUGGUUGGGGUGACCUCGGAGCAAAGACAAACCUCCGAAUGAUUCUAACUUAGACCUACAAGUCAAAGAAUCAAUCAUAAAUUGACCCAGAGACUAUCUGAUCAAUGAACCAAGUUACCCUAGGGAUAACAGCGCAAUCCUAUUCUAGAGUCCAUAUCGACAAUAGGGUUUACGACCUCGAUGUUGGAUCAGGACCCCCAAAUGGUGCAACCGCUAUUAAAGGUUCGUUUGUUCAACGAUUAAAGUCCU
Molecule: ribosomal RNA, 549 nt
Filed under: Thrichomys apereoides (common punare)
Lineage: Eukaryota; Metazoa; Chordata; Mammalia; Rodentia; Echimyidae
Description: partial 16S ribosomal RNA
Rfam family: Bacterial large subunit ribosomal RNA
Source: RNAcentral